AACGAACGCUGGCGGCAGGCCUAACACAUGCAAGUCGAACGGAUCCUUCGGGAUUAGUGGCAGACGGGUGAGUAACGCGUGGGAAGCUACCUUGUGGUAGGGAACAACAGUUGGAAACGACUGCUAAUACCCUAUGAGCCCUAUGGGGGAAAGAUUUAUCGCCAUGAGAUGUGCCCGCGUUAGAUUAGCUAGUUGGUAAGGUAAUGGCUUACCAAGGCGACGAUCUAUAGCUGGUCUGAGAGGAUGAUCAGCCACACUGGGACUGAGACACGGCCCAGACUCCUACGGGAGGCAGCAGUGGGGAAUAUUGGACAAUGGGGGCAACCCUGAUCCAGCCAUGCCGCGUGAGUGAUGACGGCCUUAGGGUUGUAAAGCUCUUUCAGCAGUGAAGAUAAUGACAUUAACUGCAGAAGAAGCCCCGGCUAACUUCGUGCCAGCAGCCGCGGUAAUACGAAGGGGGCUAGCGUUGUUCGGAAUCACUGGGCGUAAAGCGUACGUAGGCGGACUGAUCAGUCAGGGGUGAAAUCCCGGGGCUCAACCCCGGAACUGCCUUUGAUACUGUCAGUCUUGAGAUCGAGAGAGGUGAGUGGAACUCCGAGUGUAGAGGUGAAAUUCGUAGAUAUUCGGAAGAACACCAGUGGCGAAGGCGGCUCACUGGCUCGA
This 663-nucleotide ribosomal RNA is filed under the name Pseudovibrio sp. RNAcentral's name for it is "bacterial SSU rRNA". It matches the Rfam family "Bacterial small subunit ribosomal RNA", at positions 28 to 737 of the family's 1533-position model. Lineage: Bacteria; Pseudomonadati; Pseudomonadota; Alphaproteobacteria; Hyphomicrobiales; Stappiaceae. The record is from RNAcentral.